RNAcentral lists this long non-coding RNA (1088 nucleotides) under Equus caballus (horse). Its description in RNAcentral is "lncRNA (ENSECAG00000049532.1)". The record is from RNAcentral. Lineage: Eukaryota; Metazoa; Chordata; Mammalia; Perissodactyla; Equidae.
GUUUGUCCCAUUCAUUUCUGUUCCUUCUCAGCCAAGGACCUCUCUUUCUCCACCCACCACUUAUAUGCUAGCAUCCCCCAGGUGUCUGUCUUCAUCUCACUGCUCUUCUCACUAUUGAUACUCUUGGGUGAAUUUAUCCAUUCUCAGGAUUUCGACUACCACCUGUAUGCUAAUGACUCUCUAAUUCAAUCUCCAGCUCAGAUAUCUUCCCCAAGCUUCAGACUCACCAGUUCCUGCCAGGCACCUUCACUCAGGUACUCUUCAGAUAUUUCAGAUUUGACUUCUCCAAAACAGGUCUGUACUGGGGCCUGAGAAACUACAUUUUGAACAAGAGCCCAGGUGGGGCUGAGGCUGCUGGUCUGGGCAUCACACGUGGAGAGCCGCUGUCCAGAGGAGACCCAUUGCUGCCCAGCGUCCACCGCCUGCCCGCCCUUAAGCCAGGUUCACAUUUGAGAGAGAAAUGACUGUGGAUAAAUGCUAGUGGGAGCUGAGAGUGAGACAGAGAGAGAGAGAGAUUCCAUGGUGCAUGAUGUCUGAGAAGAAGAAUCUAAAGGAGAAGAAUCCAAGCCUGGAUGGAGGGAUUGCUUUUGAUGCUCCUCCCCCGUCCCCAGUGGUCAGGAGGUGGCGAUGGAAGUUCCAACCCUCUAAUCUCACAGUUGGAUCCUCUGACAACCAGCCCCCAUCCUCCAAGAGUCGUCUCAUUGGCAUAAACUCAGUGCAUAGUGGUAAGGAAGGAGGUGGAAGAAUUGGAACUUCAAAAUAAUAAAGUACAAAGAAAUGGCAAGUUCUCCAGAUUUUCUAAAAGGAGCAGAGAAGAGCGAACUUCUAGAGAUGCCUCUCACCACAGAGAGCAAAAUAAUUGUUGGCUGAGUGUUCUGACUCCUCAUCUGAGAUCAGCCUUUGCGUGUGCGCCCCAUCCUGCCAAUCACGUCUUACAGGAUCAUUCCACACUUGGAAUAUUGGAGGGGUCUGUCAGAUCUGCCCAUCACCCAUGAGAUGCGCAACUUGUGACAGCCAAAGACUGGUUAGAACUCAAGAAGGAAGCCUCCAAAGACCCUUUCUCCAAGCUGCUUAAGACUUUAUCAGGU